UAAUACAUGCAAGUCGAACGCGCAGCGAAAGGUGCUUGCACCUUUCAAGCGAGUGGCGAACGGGUGAGUAACACGUGGAUAACCUGCCUCAAGGCUGGGGAUAACAUUUGGAAACAGAUGCUAAUACCGAAUAAAACUUAGUAUCGCAUGAUACAAAGUUGAAAGGCGCUACGGCGUCACCUAGAGAUGGGUCCGCGGUGCAUUAGUUAGUUGGUGGGGUAAAGGCCUACCAAGACAAUGAUGCAUAGCCGAGUUGAGAGACUGAUCGGCCACAUUGGGACUGAGACACGGCCCAAACUCCUACGGGAGGCUGCAGUAGGGAAUCUUCCACAAUGGGCGAAAGCCUGAUGGAGCAACGCCGCGUGUGUGAUGAAGGCUUUAGGGUCGUAAAGCACUGUUGUAUGGGAAGAAAUGCUAGAAUAGGGAAUGAUUCUAGUUCGACGGUACCAUACCAGAAAGGGACGGCUAAAUACGUGCCAGCAGCCGCGGUAAUACGUAUGUCCCGAGCGUUAUCCGGAUUUAUUGGGCGUAAAGCGAGCGCAGACGGUUGAUUAAGUCUGAUGUGAAAGCCCGGAGCUCAACUCCGGAAUGGCAUUGGAAACUGGUUAACUUGAGUGUUGUAGAGGUAAGUGGAACUCCAUGUGUAGCGGUGGAAUGCGUAGAUAUAUGGAAGAACACCAGUGGCGAAGGCGGCUUACUGGACAACAACUGACGUGAGGCUCGAAA
RNAcentral lists this ribosomal RNA (726 nucleotides) under Leuconostoc lactis. RNAcentral describes it as "bacterial SSU rRNA". It matches the Rfam family "Bacterial small subunit ribosomal RNA", at positions 49 to 758 of the family's 1533-position model. Lineage: Bacteria; Bacillati; Bacillota; Bacilli; Lactobacillales; Lactobacillaceae. The record is from RNAcentral.